AUCCAAGGUGAUUCCUUCUCCAAGGGGGACAUCCAGUGACCCUCUCAGGAAGUAGCAACUUGGAAUAGAAUAGUCCAGGAGUUCCAGGACCAGCCUGGCCAAUAUGGCGAAACCCCAUCUAUACUAGAAAUACAAAA
Molecule: small nucleolar RNA, 137 nt
Filed under: Homo sapiens (human)
Lineage: Eukaryota; Metazoa; Chordata; Mammalia; Primates; Hominidae
Description: small nucleolar RNA SNORA67L3
Rfam family: Small nucleolar RNA SNORA67 (bases 1-107)
About the family: U67 belongs to the H/ACA class of snoRNAs which are thought to guide the sites of modification of uridines to pseudouridines.
Source: RNAcentral